This is a small nuclear RNA of Phodopus roborovskii (desert hamster), 104 nucleotides long. The record is from RefSeq and is a predicted model, not a curated record. Lineage: Eukaryota; Metazoa; Chordata; Mammalia; Rodentia; Cricetidae.
AUGCUCCCUUUGGCAGCACAUAUACUGAAACUGGAAUGAUUCAGAGAUUAACAUGGCUCCUGCACAAGGAUUCCAUGCAAAUUCACAGAGCAUUCCAUAUUUAU